This is a non-coding RNA of Pimephales promelas (fathead minnow), 2030 nucleotides long. The record is from RefSeq and is a predicted model, not a curated record. Lineage: Eukaryota; Metazoa; Chordata; Actinopteri; Cypriniformes; Leuciscidae.
UUCAUUUUCGUAUCGAGUGCAGGCGGGUGCGAACUACGGGGGAACUGAGCUCGGCUCCCCUUAAUAAGACAUGGGCUCCCCUGAAAACGUGAUAUGUGAAAUUGUGGAGCCUAUCUCAUCGUGUACGUGAGAUGUGAUGUGAGUGGCAAAGGAGAUAUAGAAAAUGUUUUUUAGACAUUGUAGGGCUGACGCAGGGCACAAAUGCAGAGUCCAUUUACAACAGGUUUGGGGCUUCAGUUCUCACUGGCAAAUCCACUGGAGUCAGUGCAAGGCUUAAGCGUGACUUUCCAAAGUUACAUUGCUUGGCUCAUCGCCUUGAAUUGGCUGUCCAUGAUUCUUUGAAAGUGGUUGCUGGAUGUAAUCAUUUCGAGUUUUUCAUUGCCAAGCUGUAGGCUAUUCUCUGUACCACCAGUCUGCAAAGAACGUGAGAUUGCUUGAGGAAGCAGCUGCAGAUUUUGAUAAUAGGACAGAUAUUCACCAUCAGAUGGGUGGCGAGUAGCCACAAUACUGUAAAGGCGGUCUGGAAUAACUACCCUGCUUUAGCGCGCCAUUUCAAAAUUGCAAGUGAGGUUGCAUCUCGCAACGGCGCUAUAGGCUACAAACACCUCACAAACUCAGGGUUUUUACUUGAUUUGGCUUGCAUGAAAGACAUUAUCCGUGAGCUGCAGGGCCUGUCACUGAAAUGUCAGCAAAGAAAUAUCACUCAAGUUGAUGCCAGUUGCCACAUUCUACAGUGUAUAUAGGGUGACCAUAUUUUGAUUACCAAAAACCAGGACACUCGGCCCAGCAAACACAUGGGCCAACUCAAAUACUCGAAGGUUACACAAAGAUACCUUAUUCAUUUCAAUACAUUUAAAGUAUGUUAUGCCUCCUCUGUAUGGAUAGAAAAUUGUUAUAUGAAAACAGGACAUGUCCUGGGAAAACAGGACAGUUGGUCACCCUAGGUUAUACUGAAAGCAAUGAAAUCGAGUGGAGGGAAAUCCACACAGAAGGCCGAACAGCGCACGUCUCUCUGGGGCUGUUUAAAAAUGUUCAACUAGUUGCGGCGGGCACAGGCAAGAUUAAUCGAAAUCAGCUUUAUCAAUCUGUGAUCGACAAUCUCACAUGGCGAAUGCCAGAAUCAGACCUCAUACAAAUGCUAAAACCCAUGAACAAGCGCUUUUGGCCACGGGAGCGGAAUGCAUUGAUCCUGUAUGGAGAAAACGAGGUACGUGCACUUGCUAAAAUGCUUGGAGAACCAGCCAGAGAGGUGUUUGAGGAGUUCCGCGACUGGAAAUUACAAGACAGAGCACCAGGCAGAAAUCUGGAAAAGAUUUGUACAGCGAGUAGAACAUGCCUUCCUACUUCAGCUGAGUGUGAGAGGGGAUUUUCUACCGUCAAUGAUACUAACAGCGCAAUAGGUUGCGUGAAAACAGCCUCUCAUUGUCGCUCCUUUUUCUGGACAUUAAUGGACUCCCAUUGGAGUUUCAACCCAAUGCCCCUUAUCACAUCUUGGAUUAAGGAAGGUCAUCGCCCAUCCACUUCUUGGACAUCUGGACGAGCAGCAAAGGAAGCUGACCCCAUGCCUCUGUGGUUGAUUUUGAGUUAAGAUCCCUGUAGAAAGAGGUUCCAGACUGCUGAUCCCUUCACCUGUAACAGCAUGUCUCCAGGCUCAAUCCUGCCAUCCGCCGCCACUGCUCCGCCUUUCAUGAUGGAGCCAAUAUAGAUGCCUCCAUCUCCUCUGUCAUUACUCUGACCAACUAUACUGAUACCCAGGAAGUUGUACUUCUCUGUGAGAAAGAGAGAUACAGCUGUUUUCAGAGACAGGGACGAAGUUGUGUUUCUGGGUGACAUCUGAUGCGCGGAAAAGGCCUGACCAAACGAUAAGACCGCUGUGGACCCCGAGUGCGACCAAAGCAUUCCAGUAUUGCAGAGGACAAUUGUAUCACCUCAACGAUUCAGGGUACAAGCAGAGGCCUGUGGCAAGAUGAGCUGUCCGGCUGCAGCUGUGUGAAACAGCCUAUCAGGAGCCCUUUCUCAGAGUGGAUCAU